GAUGAACGCUGGCUACAGGCUUAACACAUGCAAGUCGAGGGGAAACGACGGGGAAGCUUGCUUCCCCGGGCGUCGACCGGCGCACGGGUGAGUAACGCGUAUCCAACCUGCCUCUGACUGAGGGAUAACCCGUCGAAAGUCGGCCUAAUACCUCAUGGCAUCGUCUGCGGGCAUCCAACGACGAUUAAAGAUUUCCUCGGUCAGGGAUGGGGAUGCGUCUGAUUAGCUUGUUGGCGGGGUAACGGCCCACCAAGGCUACGAUCAGUAGGGGUUCUGAGAGGAAGGUCCCCCACAUUGGAACUGAGACACGGUCCAAACUCCUACGGGAGGCAGCAGUGAGGAAUAUUGGUCAAUGGGCGGGAGCCUGAACCAGCCAAGUAGCGUGCAGGAGGACGGCCCUAUGGGUUGUAAACUGCUUUUAUGCGGGGAUAAAGUGAGGGACGUGUCCUUCAUUGCAGGUACCGCAUGAAUAAGGACCGGCUAAUUCCGUG
Molecule: ribosomal RNA, 491 nt
Filed under: uncultured bacterium
Lineage: Bacteria
Description: partial 16S ribosomal RNA
Rfam family: Bacterial small subunit ribosomal RNA
Source: RNAcentral